This 300-nucleotide ribosomal RNA is filed under the name Triticum aestivum (bread wheat). Its description in RNAcentral is "partial small subunit ribosomal RNA". Lineage: Eukaryota; Viridiplantae; Streptophyta; Magnoliopsida; Poales; Poaceae. The record is from RNAcentral.
AUGCGUAUGUUGAGAUGGAUGUGUGGCCACACGAGGAAGGAUCGAGUCCGGAAUGAUGAUAUACGAGAUAGAGUUGGGGUAGCACCAAUUGAGGAGAAGCUUGUCCAACAUUGUUUGAGAUGGUUUGGGCAUAUUCAGCGCAGGCCUUCAGAAGCUCCAGUGCAUAGCGAACGGCUAAAGCGUGCGGAGAAUGUCAAGAGAGGGCGGGGUCGAUCGAAUUUGACAUGGGAGGAGUCCGUUAAGAAAGACCUGAAGGAUUGGAGUAUCGACAAAGAGCUAGCUAUGAACAGGGGUGCGUGA